UGGGGAAUAUUGCACAAUGGGCGCAAGCCUGAUGCAGCAACGCCGCGUGAGGGAUGACGGCCUUCGGGUUGUAAACCUCUUUCAGUAGGGAAGAAGCGAAAGUGACGGUACCUACAGAAGAAGCACCGGCUAACUACGUGCCAGCAGCCGCGGUAAUACGUAGGGUGCGAGCGUUGUCCGGAAUUAUUGGGCGUAAAGAGCUUGUAGGCGGUUUGUCGCGUCUGCUGUGAAAAUCCGGGGCUCAACCCCGGACUUGCAGUGGGUACGGGCAGACUAGAGUGUGGUAGGGGAGACUGGAAUUCCUGGUGUAGCGGUGAAAUGCGCAGAUAUCAGGAGGAACACCGAUGGCGAAGGCAGGUCUCUGGGCCACUACUGACGCUGAGAAGCGAAAGCGUGGGGAGCGAACAGG
This 409-nucleotide ribosomal RNA is filed under the name uncultured bacterium. RNAcentral describes it as "bacterial SSU rRNA". It matches the Rfam family "Bacterial small subunit ribosomal RNA", at positions 355 to 776 of the family's 1533-position model. The record is from RNAcentral.